RNAcentral lists this ribosomal RNA (301 nucleotides) under uncultured bacterium. Its description in RNAcentral is "partial 16S ribosomal RNA". It matches the Rfam family "Bacterial small subunit ribosomal RNA", at positions 509 to 807 of the family's 1533-position model. The record is from RNAcentral.
CAGUAGCCACGGUAAUACGGAGGGCGCGAGCGUUACCCGGAUUUACUGGGCGUAAAGGGCGUGUAGGCGGCCUGGGGCGUCCCAUGUGAAAGGCCACGGCUCAACCGUGGAGGAGCGUGGGAUACGCUCAGGCUAGAGGGUGGGAGAGGGUGGUGGAAUUCCCGGAGUAGCGGUGAAAUGCGCAGAUACCGGGAGGAACGCCGAUGGCGAAGGCAGCCACCUGGUCCACUUCUGACGCUGAGGCGCGAAAGCGUGGGGAGCAAACCGGAUUAGAUACCAGCGUAGUCCCUGUCUCUUAUAC